AUAUCAAUAAGCGGAGGAAAAGAAACCAACAGGGAUUGCCUCAGUAACGGCGAGUGAAGCGGCAACAGCUCAGAUUUGAAAUCCGGCCUAGGCCCGAGUUGUAAUCUGUAGAGGAUGCUUCUGGCGAGGUGCCCGCUGAGUCCCCUGGAACGGGGCGCCACGGAGGGUGAGAGCCCCGUACGGCGGGACGCCGAGCCUGUGCGAAGCUCCUUCGACGAGUCGAGUAGUUUGGGAAUGCUGCUCAAAAUGGGAGGUAAAUUCCUCCUAAAGCUAAAUACCGGCCAGAGACCGAUAGCGCACAAGUAGAGUGAUCGAAAGAUGAAAAGCACUUUGGAAAGAGGGUUAAACAGCACGUGAAAUUGUUGAAAGGGAAGCGCCCGUGACCAGACUCGGGCCUGACGGUACCGCUGGCGUUCUCGCCAGCGCACUCCGCCAGGCCCGGGCCAGCAUCGGUGCCCGCUGGGGGAUAAAGGCCCUGGGAACGUAGCUCCCCUCGGGGAGUGUUACAGCCCAGGGCGUAAUGCCCCGGGGGGCACCGAGGUUCGCGCUUCCGCAAGGAUGCUGGCGUAAUGGUCACAGGCGACCCGUCUUGAAACACGGACCAAGGAGUCGUCCAUUGGAGCGAGCGUUCGGGUGGGAAACCCGUACGCGUAAUGAAAGUGAACGUAGGUGAGAGCUUCGGCGCAUCAUCGACCGAUCCUGAUGUUCUCGGAGGGAUUUGAGUAGGAGUUCCAACGGACGGACCCGAAAGAUGGUGAACUAUGCCUGUAUAGGGUGAAGCCAGAGGAAACUCUGGUGGAGGCUCGCAGCGGUUCUGACGUGCAAAUCGAUCGUCAAAUAUGGGCAUGGGGGCGAAAGACUAAUCGAACCAUCUAGUAGCUGGUUACCGCCGAAGUUUCCCUCAGGAUAGCAGUGUUGUCUUCAGUUUUAUGAGGUAAAGCGAAUGAUUAGGGACUCGGGGGCACCUAUUAGCCUUCAUCCAUUCUCAAACUUUAAAUAUGUAAGAAGCUCUUGUUACUUAGCUGAACGCGGGCGUUGGAAUGUAGCAACACUAGU
RNAcentral lists this ribosomal RNA (1056 nucleotides) under Jobellisia fraterna. RNAcentral describes it as "eukaryotic LSU rRNA". It matches the Rfam family "Eukaryotic large subunit ribosomal RNA", at positions 40 to 1127 of the family's 3401-position model. The record is from RNAcentral. Lineage: Eukaryota; Fungi; Ascomycota; Sordariomycetes; Jobellisiaceae.